GAUGAACGCCAGCUACAGGCUUAACACAUGCAAGUCGAGGGGAAACGAUAUUGGAAGCUUGCUUCCGAUAGGCGUCGACCGGCGCACGGGUGAGUAACUCGUAUCCAACCUACCCAUGACUUGGGGAUAACCUUGCGAAAGUAAGACUAAUACCCAAUGAUAUCUCUAGAAGACAUCUGAAAGGAAUUAAAGAUUUAUCGGUGAUGUAUUGGGUAGCGUCUGAUUAGCUUGUUGGCGGGUUACCGGCCAACCAAUGAGACGAUCAGUAGGGGUUCUGAGAGGAAGGUCCCCCACAUUGGAACUGAGACACGGUCCAAACUCCUACGGGAGGCAGCAGUGAGGAAUAUUGGUCAAUGGGCGAGAGCCUGAACCAGCCAAGUAGCGUGCAGGAUGACGGCCCUAUGGGUUGUAAACUGCUUUUAUAAGGGAAUAAAGUGGGAGUCGUGACUCCUUUUGCAUGUACCUUAUGAAUAAGGACCGGCUAAUUCCGUGCCAGCAGCCGCCGUAA
RNAcentral lists this ribosomal RNA (508 nucleotides) under uncultured bacterium. RNAcentral describes it as "partial 16S ribosomal RNA". It matches the Rfam family "Bacterial small subunit ribosomal RNA", at positions 28 to 523 of the family's 1533-position model. The record is from RNAcentral.